Glycine soja is the source of this 2546-nucleotide RNA transcript. It is a transcript of the gene named zinc finger CCCH domain-containing protein 48-like, with no coding region annotated. NCBI's taxonomy places the organism in Eukaryota, Viridiplantae, Streptophyta, Magnoliopsida, Fabales, Fabaceae. The transcript has 8 exons. The record is from RefSeq and is a predicted model, not a curated record.
CAGUGGCAACACACCAACGUUUGAAAAUACAAACCUUGUUCUCUGUUAUUUCUCUCAACAAUCGUUCCAAACAAAUCACGAGUUGAAUUCUGAAGGUUUCGCUACGUUUCUACCACUCAGGUUUGCUUCGCGGAACGCGAAAAUCUAACACUUUUAGGUUUUAUGAUGGAUGAUCUGCGAGAAUCUAUGUUCUAUCCGACUUCAUUUAUCUCAAUGAACUUUUCUGUGCUUCCCCGAUGCAAAGAUAGGGUUUCGCGUGUAGGAUUCCUUUCAAUUUAUUUAUUAGGGUUUUCAGAAGGAUCGGCGAUACCCUAAUUUGGGGGGUUUUGGGAUAGUCUCUAUUGACGUUAUGAUCAGGGUUAAAUUAUUGAUCUUUGAUCCAAUUCUGUCAUGGGUUUUGACCUUGACGUGCUUGAUCUUCCUCGAUAGACUUGUUCUGCCAUAGUUUUGUUGCCAUGUUCAUCACUUGCUUUACAACUGUUAUUUUGGGAUGUAAAAUUUGGGACCCAAAUGGUUUUGGGUUUUUGAUGAGGAGUUGAGUCUACGGCUUAGGGUUUAUCAUUGAGUUAAUGAAUGAAAACAUGAGCUAUGGAGAAUUUUAUUGAUAGGAUACAGUAUCUGAUCUGGGAUGUCAUUGCAUUGCAAUGUUUGUUUUUUUAGAGUAUCAUGAAUACAAAGUUUGCACGAAGGACUGAGCGCAUUGGUGGAACAGCAUGUGCCUAUUGGAGAGCUGGGAGAUGUAACAGAAAUCCUUGCAGAUUUUUGCACAUAGAGACACCAUCACCACCUACUGCUUGUGGUUAUGUCAAUACUGCAUAUAGAUAUGGAAAAAAGCCCCAUUCCUCCUCUGAGAAUACCCCUAAAUAUAGUUCAAAGACAGCAUUGAUUAGCGAUAAUGGAGAUAGAGGAGAUGCGACAAGGGUCGCUAAGGCGUCCAAGAAAUCAUCAACAAGGAUAUGUAAAUACUGGAUCAACAACAAUUGUGUACAUGGUGAACAAUGCCUGUAUUUGCAUUCAUGGUUUCAUGGUGAUGGGUUUUCCACCGUAACAAAGCUUCAAGAACAUAAGAAGGUUAUCACUGGCAUUGCACUUCCUGUUGGAUCGGACAAACUUUAUUCUGGCAGCAGUGAUGGGACAGUUCGGAUAUGGGACUGCCAUACUGGUCGAUGUGUUAAAGUCAUCAAUCUUGGUGCUGAGGUUACCUCUUUGAUCAGUGAGGGGCCAUGGAUUUUUGUUGGUCAGCAAAAUGCUGUCAAGGCUUGGAACAUCCAGACCAUUACAGAGUUUACUCUUGAUGGACCCAAAGGCCAAGUCCGUGCCAUGACUGUUGGCAAUGAUACACUCUUUGCUGGUGCAGAGGAUGGUGUCAUUUUUGCCUGGAGAGGAAGCUCUGGAGCUAAAUCUCCUUUUGAACUGGUUGCAUCACUCACUGGCCAUACUAAAGCAGUGGUUUGCCUGACUAUUGGAUGCAAGAUGCUGUACUCUGGGUCCAUGGACCAAAGCAUAAAGGUCUGGGACAUGGAUACAUUACAGUGUACAAUGACACUAAAUGAGCAUACUGACAUAGUCACAUCUCUUAUUUGUUGGGACCAAUAUUUGUUGUCAUGUUCAUCUGACUGUACAAUUAAGGUCUGGGCUUGCACUGAAGUAGGAUCUUUGAAAGUGGUAUAUACGCACACGGAAGAAAAUGGUGUUGUUUCACUUUUUGGGAUGCCUGAUGCAGAAGGCAAGCAUAUAUUAUUUUCCUCGUGCAGAGACAAUUCAGUUCAUAUGUAUGAAUUGCCAUCAUUUUCAGAGAGGGGACGUUUAUUUGCCAAGAAAGAUGUGGCAUCAUUUGAGUUAGGUCUUGGUGGCCUCUUCUUCACUGGAGAUGAGACUGGUUUGCUGAUGGUGUGGAAAUGGUUGGAUGUACCCAAGGUGGCAUCCUCUUGAUGUGUUCCCUUUCGACUUUGGAGUUGUAUUAUCCAUCUGUCUCCUCUUGAAGCAGAUGUAAUGCUCUCCUUCCUUGAUUAGUAUAUUUACUAUUGGAUUGCUCUUUAUGCUAUCAUUGCUUUAGCCAUAUCAAGAAUGAAUAGUCUCGGUGUCGAAAGUAGCAUGAUGUACUUCUUUUGCGGCUUAUUUGUAUUUCAACUCAUGAAGCUCAAGAUAUGGGUAGGCAUUGUCGCGGGAGGAAUGUUUAGGUUUGUUCUUAUCUUAAUUCGAACCAUACUUGCUGCACAACUGAAGAAGGAGGAGCAAGAUUAGCAUGUUGAAGUGUAAACUUCAGCCUAAGAAAUCUCAUUAUUGUUAUUUAUAGUUCUUGGAAUGACACUAAGAAAUCUCUUAUUAUUCUGGUUAAUGAGGGAAGACCAUUACGCGCAGAGACUAGUAGAGAUAAGAAAUGCUUAACAGUAAUGUGAGAAUUAAACUCUUUUUUUUUUUUUUUUAUCAUAAAUUCAGUGUGUUAUACCAACUGAAUUGCACACAUUGAAUUCACAUUGAAUUGCUGGAGUUUAUUGUUUUAGUAUUGAAAAAUGUGAUAUUUAUAAUAUAUAUUUUGUAUCUAA